Long non-coding RNA from Chiloscyllium plagiosum (whitespotted bambooshark), 1193 nucleotides. RefSeq lists it as uncharacterized. The record is from RefSeq and is a predicted model, not a curated record. NCBI's taxonomy places the organism in Eukaryota, Metazoa, Chordata, Chondrichthyes, Orectolobiformes, Hemiscylliidae.
AAUUCAUUUCUCAUUAUUCAAAUGAAGCACAAAGCAUUUUGUUCCGCAGAGGUUGUUCACAUUAUAGGUCAGGAAUGUAAACUGUGACACAGCAACAAGGGAACCAGCCAGGAAGAAAGACCUUGCGUUUUGAAAGUACAGUCGCAAAGUUCCUGAACAAAUACGAGAAAGUGCUGGAGAAACUCAGCAGAUCUGGAAAUAUCUGUGGAGAGAGAGUCAGAGUUUACGUUUCAAGUUCAGAGUGACUCUUCUUCAGGACUCUGAAUGAUUUAUCGUCACUUGCACUUUACAAUGGAUAAUACGGCCCCCUUAAGUUUAUCAGUGAUGGAGCAGCACUUUCAAAGAGGGAGGAUUUGGCAAAGAGAGACGAGAAGCGAUUCAACACACGAACCCUCUCACACAGACAAAGAACAGGCACUUUGGCCAUUGGCAGCACAUGUCAGGAAAUCAUGUUCACUCUGCCUCCACAGUGCGGCCGUUCAUGGGAAAACAAAAGAAUGAACUACACUAAUACAGCAACUUUUGUGGCCUCGGGAUACCUCAAAGUGCUUCCCAGCCAGUGAAGGGCGGUUAACGUGUAGCCAUUAUUGCGAUGUAGGAUAUGCAGCAGCCCAGGUGCACUCAGCAAGGCCCCACAAACAGCAAUGCCAUAACGGUCAGAUCAUCUGCUUUUGUGAUAUUGGUUGAUGUAUAAGUAUUAGCACCUGCACACGGAGGAGAACUCCCUUGGUCUUAUUGGAAAUUGUGCAACCUGAAGGGGGAAAUGAGGAUUGUGUAUAGAAUUUCAUCACUUUCCCUGACAGUCCGCACUCUUACAGUACUGUGCUGCAGAGUCUGCCUGGACUUAAUGUUCAGCUACUUGAAAUAACUCCCUGAAGACUGCUAUUCCGUCGCCAAGUCAACCUUUAUUUACGCGUGCAUAGUAUGUGACACUAGUCCAGCUAGCUCAGACCCAGCUGCUAAAAGUGAACGGAACAUCUGACACUCCUGCGUAUAUCUUUCAGCCAGGGCUCCCUGAUUGGAUCAGGUUAACAGCUCCAGUCAAGGAACUCAUAUUCUAUGAGGUCCACUUGGCUGACCUCAAUACAAUCAUGAGAGGUACCAUAGUAAGACUUGAAGCCCCCCACACACACACAGACACUCCUAUACACACAUACACAUGGAUACACAUAUACACAGACGCGCACACAGAC